RNAcentral lists this non-coding RNA (30 nucleotides) under Homo sapiens (human). The record is from RNAcentral. Lineage: Eukaryota; Metazoa; Chordata; Mammalia; Primates; Hominidae.
UGAGUAGAGAAGAACAAUCGAAUCAGAUGC